Non-coding RNA from Salvelinus sp. IW2-2015, 1576 nucleotides. NCBI's taxonomy places the organism in Eukaryota, Metazoa, Chordata, Actinopteri, Salmoniformes, Salmonidae. The record is from RefSeq and is a predicted model, not a curated record.
UUGAAAGGUCCGCUWCUUUCGUCACUAGACAACCCGGAAGCGUCAAUUUGACCUCAAAGGACACCAACACUUACUCUUUAUAAAGUAGCAAUGGGAUGGCGAGUGGUGUUGAGGGGUUUCAUGCCUCUGUGUUUACGUCGACUUGCCUACUUGACCACCAACAAUUACAUGGGYGCAAGGAUUCGUCCAGCCCGCACAGACCUGACGGUGACAUGUCGCUACCCUCUUUGGACAACCCAUCCUGUAAGAACACUACAUCUGUGCCCUAACUUGUGUGCUGGUCAUAAUAAGUGGUCAAAGGUGAAAAAUAUAAAAGGACCCAAAGAUGCAGCCCGRAGUCGAAUGUUCAUGAAGUUUGGGAUGAUGAUAAGAAUUGCAGUCAAAGAAGGGAGAUCUAGUAAUCCAGAAUUCAAUCUAGCAUUGGCGAAUGUAGUGGAGCAAUGCCGAGGCAAGAACAUGCCCAAAGCRUCCAUAGAAGCUGCCAUCAAGGGAGCGGAAAAGUCCAAGGCAGGAACCCAGCACACAUAUGAAGCCAGGGGGCCUGGUGGCUGCAUGCUGCUCAUCGAUAUGCUAACUGACAACAACACCCGAAGUCACCAGGAACUCAAACAUCUGCUCAACAAACACGGGGCAGCGCUGUGCGACGGGGUGCGUCAUAACUUCAGCAGGAAGGGGGUGGUGGUGGCGCAGGGGCAGGGUGUGUCGUCCGAGCGAGCUCUGGAACUGGCCAUCGAGGCGGGGGCCGAGGACGUCCAAGAAACAGAGGAUGAGGAUGAUAAGUCCCUCCUACAGUUUGUGUGUGACAUGACAGAGCUGAAGAAGGUGCGGACCUCGCUGGAAGAACUGGGGGUGCGCACUGUGUCCGCUAGCCUGGAGUUUGUGUCCCACAAACCCACGCAGCUUCCACAAGCCCAGCUGGAGGCAGCCUUAUCUCUGAUAGAAGCCCUGAGCGACUGCCUAGACGUGGUGCGGGUCUGGGACAACAUCCAGGCCCAUGACUGACAGUCAUUAUGUACUAUUGUCAUAUUACAUAUUAUGGACAUUUCACGUUAGGAUAUAUUGCACGUUUGGAAAUUUGAAUUGAGCAGACAAAUCUUAACACCAGAUCUGCUCAUCUAUGGACUGUACAAAAGUCAUGGUUGCAGUUAUUUUAAGAAGACAUUGCGUUUGUCAGUGCUAAGAAAAAUGCAUUUAUCUGGAAACUCGGGAGCAAGAGAAGUUGGACAGGAUUCAGACUUGAGAUCUGUGUGUUUAACUCAAAUGUUCACCCAAGUCUGAGUUGCAGGUGCUUAUUUCAACUCUGAAUCGUCCCGAUUGUGACUAGCCAGACUGAGUCUGUGAGGUAAAAGGAGUUUGUGUCAGGAAACCUCUUGUGUACCUGCUUAAAGGAUAUCUUGGAUAUGAAUGUAAAAACAACUAUCAUGUCCAAAUAAAACUAUUUAAUUCUGUGUAAACUGCUCAGAACUCUGGAAGGACUUGGCUACAAUGUCACUGCAUGAAUGUGAAGUUAUCAAACAUGCAUUAUCUAAUACUGUUUGUUUCAGCACUGUUGAUAUAGUAAAUCAUCAACACGUAA